This 587-nucleotide ribosomal RNA is filed under the name uncultured bacterium. Its description in RNAcentral is "bacterial SSU rRNA". It matches the Rfam family "Bacterial small subunit ribosomal RNA", at positions 338 to 916 of the family's 1533-position model. The record is from RNAcentral.
CCUACGGGAGGCAGCAGUGGGGAAUUUUGGACAAUGGGCGCAAGCCUGAUCCAGCCAUGCCGCGUGUGUGAAGAAGGCCUUCGGGUUGUAAAGCACUUUCGGCCGGAACGAAAUCGCGCGGGCUAUUACCCCGCGUGGAUGACGGUACCGGAAGAAGAAGCACCGGCUAACUACGUGCCAGCAGCCGCGGUAAUACGUAGGGUGCGAGCGUUUAUCGGAAUUACUGGGCGUAAAGGGUGCGCAGGCGGCGUCGCAAGUCAGGCGUGAAAUCCCCGGGCUUAACCUGGGAAUUGCACUUGAAACUACGAUGUUGGAGUAUGGCAGAGGGAGGUGGAAUUCCACGUGUAGCGGUGAAAUGCGUAGAGAUGUGGAGGAACACCGAUGGCGAAGGCAGCCUCCUGGGCCAAUACUGACGCUCAUGCACGAAAGCGUGGGGAGCAAACAGGAUUAGAUACCCUGGUAGUCCACGCCCUAAACGAUGAUGACUAGUUGUUGGAGGAGUUAAAUCCUUUAGUAACGCAGCUAACGCGAGAAGUCAUCCGCCUGGGGAGUACGGUCGCAAGAUUAAAACUCAAAGGAAUUGACGG